UACGGGGGGAGCAAGCGUUGUUCGGAAUUACUGGGCGUAAAGGGCUCGUAGGUGGCCAACUCAGUCGGACGUGAAAUCCCUCGGCUUAACCGGGGAACUGCGUCCGAUACUGGAUGGCUUGAGAUCGGGAGAGGGAUGCGGAAUUCCAGGUGUAGCGGUGAAAUGCGUAGAUAUCUGGAGGAACACCGGUGGCGAAGGCGGCAUCCUGGACCGACACUGACACUGAGGAGCGAAAGCCAGGGGAGCAAACGGG
This 253-nucleotide ribosomal RNA is filed under the name uncultured bacterium. RNAcentral's name for it is "partial 16S ribosomal RNA". It matches the Rfam family "Bacterial small subunit ribosomal RNA", at positions 524 to 776 of the family's 1533-position model. The record is from RNAcentral.